RNAcentral lists this ribosomal RNA (456 nucleotides) under uncultured bacterium. RNAcentral's name for it is "bacterial SSU rRNA". It matches the Rfam family "Bacterial small subunit ribosomal RNA", at positions 394 to 848 of the family's 1533-position model. The record is from RNAcentral.
ACGCCGCGUGAGUGAUGAAGGCUUCGGGUCGUAAAGCUCUGUCAAGUGGGAAGAACCUACAUAUGGUCAAUACCCAUGUGUACUGACGGUACCACUGAAGGAAGCACCGGCUAACUCCGUGCCAGCAGCCGCGGUAAUACGGAGGGUGCAAGCGUUAUUCGGAAUUAUUGGGCGUAAAGAGCGCGUAGGCGGCCAGUUAAGUCAGAUGUGAAAUCCCGGGGCCCAACCCCGGAAGUGCAUUUGAAACUAAUUGGCUUGAGUAUGGGAGAGGGAAGUGGAAUUCCUGGUGUAGAGGUGAAAUUCGUAGAUAUCAGGAGGAACACCGGUGGCGAAGCGACUUCCUGGACCAAUACUGACGCUGAGGCGCGAAGCGUGGGGACAAACAGGAUUAGAUCCCUGGUAGUCCACGCAGUAAACGGUGAUCCUANGUGUACGGGUAUUGACCCUGCUGUGCCG